CCCUUAGAUGUCCUGGGCCGCACGCGCGCUACACUGACAUGUUCAACAAGCCUCCUAGUUCGACAGGAUUUGGGAAAUCUUUGAACGCAUGUCGUGAUAGGGAUAGAUCAUUGCAAUUAUUGAUCUUGAACGAGGAAUUCCUAGUAAACGCGAGUCAUCAGCUCGCAUUGAUUACGUCCCUGCCCUUUGUACACACCGCCCGUCGCACCUACCGAUUGAAUGUUUCGGUGAAGAUUCCGGAUAGGACUUUUUUGAUUUAUUUCAAUUUUGUCUUAAAAGCUAUCUAAACCUCACCAUUUAGAGGAAGGUGAAGUCGUAACA
RNAcentral lists this ribosomal RNA (321 nucleotides) under uncultured eukaryote. Its description in RNAcentral is "partial 18S ribosomal RNA". It matches the Rfam family "Eukaryotic small subunit ribosomal RNA", at positions 1470 to 1796 of the family's 1831-position model. The record is from RNAcentral.